AAAAAUCAACAAGUGAAUAAAUACAGACAGAGGGUUACUCAAUGUCCUUGCCAACGUUCCAUUCAGGUUCCCGUCCAGUCAGCCUGAGUUCAUUCAACAGCCGUUGAGCUCCUCACAAAGACUUUGUGUCAUGUUGUGAAUGCAACAUGUUCGACAGCAUUCCUGCCGAGGAAAUAUCUCCUAUGAUGGGUGCACACUUCCAUGGAAGCAUCGCAAGGCCUUUGCAGAAUGGAACACUGAAAAAAUAAUCACCUUCUUCUCUUUGGUGGAUGAGAUGAAAUCUUUAUGCUCUCCUUCGAGAGGACAGACGAUGUUUGAAAGAAAACCUGAUUCUGAAAAUCUUAGCAACAAGGCCAUAAACUCUUUUGCUGUAAAUGAGGUUGUAGAGUGAUUAAAAUUGAAUCUUGAUGAAGA
Suricata suricatta (meerkat) is the source of this 414-nucleotide long non-coding RNA. RefSeq lists it as uncharacterized. NCBI's taxonomy places the organism in Eukaryota, Metazoa, Chordata, Mammalia, Carnivora, Herpestidae. The transcript is spliced from 3 exons. The record is from RefSeq and is a predicted model, not a curated record.